This 313-nucleotide unclassified non-coding RNA is filed under the name Hevea brasiliensis (rubber tree). Lineage: Eukaryota; Viridiplantae; Streptophyta; Magnoliopsida; Malpighiales; Euphorbiaceae. The record is from RNAcentral.
GGGAGACCAAAAUUGGUGAUCACCCGGUCAAUUCUGAUUGGGUCUACACCUAAGUUAGCCAAAAAAUGUGCAGCCUGAGAAUAUGGGAAAAAUGCGCGAUUGACAGCAAAUCCAGUGCGGUUGCCCACAACAACAGGAACCUUCUUUAUGAUUUUCCCAACAGUCAUAAGAUCAAGAAUCACUUGUGGAGAAGUCCUCUCUGUCCGUACAAUUUCUAGGAGGGGCAUCACGUGAGCAGGGCUGAAAAAAUGUGCUCCAAUGAUUCGAUCAAUGGAUCUGGUUUUUUCUCCAACUAGAUUGAGGUCGAUAGUUG